GCCCGGAUGGUGAAAUUGGUAGACACAAGGGACUUAAAAUCCCUCGGCGGCAACGCCAUGCCGGUUCGAGUCCGGCUCCGGGCACCA
This 87-nucleotide transfer RNA is filed under the name Gammaproteobacteria bacterium. RNAcentral's name for it is "tRNA-Leu". It matches the Rfam family "tRNA". Rfam says of the family: Transfer RNA (tRNA) molecules are approximately 80 nucleotides in length. Their secondary structure includes four short double-helical elements and three loops (D, anti-codon, and T loops). Lineage: Bacteria; Pseudomonadati; Pseudomonadota; Gammaproteobacteria. The record is from RNAcentral.